GACGAACGCUGGCGGCGUGCCUAAUACAUGCAAGUAGAACGCUGAAGGAGGAGCUUGCUUCUCUGGAUGAGUUGCGAACGGGUGAGUAACGCGUAGGUAACCUGCCUGGUAGCGGGGGAUAACUAUUGGAAACGAUAGCUAAUACCGCAUAAUAGUAGAUGUCGCAUGACAUUUGCUUAAAAGGUGCAAUUGCAUCACUACCAGAUGGACCUGCGUUGUAUUAGCUAGUUGGUGAGGUAACGGCUCACCAAGGCAACGAUCCAUAGCCGACCUGAGAGGGGGGACGGCCAAACUGGGACUGGGACAAGGCCCAAGCUCCUACGGGGGGCAGCCGUAGGGGAUCUUCGGCAAUGGACGGAAGUCUGACCGAGCAACGCCGCGUGAGUGGAGAAGGGUUUCGGAUCGUAAAGCUCUGUUGUAAGAGAAGAACGAGUGUGAGAGUGGAAAGUUCACACUGUGACGGUAUCUUACCAGAAAGGGACGGCUAACUACGUG
RNAcentral lists this ribosomal RNA (495 nucleotides) under uncultured bacterium. RNAcentral's name for it is "partial 16S ribosomal RNA". It matches the Rfam family "Bacterial small subunit ribosomal RNA", at positions 28 to 507 of the family's 1533-position model. The record is from RNAcentral.